This 219-nucleotide long non-coding RNA is filed under the name Panicum hallii. RNAcentral's name for it is "long non-coding RNA (PHAL_LNC000880)". The record is from RNAcentral. Lineage: Eukaryota; Viridiplantae; Streptophyta; Magnoliopsida; Poales; Poaceae.
UACUUUUUAUAGAUAUAAAAAAAUUGAAUGGAAUAGAUAAUAAGAAAAUUGCAAAAAAGGGGAACUAAUUAAAAAUAUUUGAUUUUUCUUUUCCCAUUCUCAUCGCCUUUCUAUCCUUCUAAUCGAACUUGAAAUUGGAUUCAAAAGAAAACUAUGGUGAAAAUAAAAGAAAUACCUCUUUCAGAAUACCCUUUAAUUUUACUUUAAUUUAAAAAGUAG